Non-coding RNA from Triticum urartu, 331 nucleotides. The record is from RefSeq and is a predicted model, not a curated record. Lineage: Eukaryota; Viridiplantae; Streptophyta; Magnoliopsida; Poales; Poaceae.
UUCUGGUGAGGACAUGAUUCAAAUUCGGAAGCCUCUCGAGAAUGCGUGAAGAAGAGCUAUGGCCAGAUCCUCGCCUUCAACGAGGUGUGAGGAGGAGCCUGUGGCUGAGACUGCAUCAGCAUAGAUGCUGCAACCCAUCACGGCGAGUUCCUCGGCCUCUGUUACGGACGAUGCAGCAGUAACUCAAGACACCAUUCAUGACUCGUGCCACUUCUACAUUUUCUUUCUCUGUUCUAGUUACUUACGUGAUUUAUUCCUGGUACUUGUUGCUGCUGUAUUCUGAUUACUUGUUGUGACCGGUAUUGAGAGAUUUUGGUGGUUUCUUUGAGUA